RNAcentral lists this ribosomal RNA (372 nucleotides) under uncultured organism. RNAcentral's name for it is "bacterial SSU rRNA". It matches the Rfam family "Bacterial small subunit ribosomal RNA", at positions 526 to 896 of the family's 1533-position model. The record is from RNAcentral.
CGUAGGUGGCAAGCGAUACUCGGAAUCACUAGGCGUAAAGCGCAGGUAGGCGGUUCGGUAAGUCUUUUGUGAAAGCUCCUGGCUCAACUGGGAGAGGUCAAGGGAAACUGCCGAGCUAGAGUUUGGUAGGGGAUACUGGAAUUCCUGGUGCAGCGGUGAAAUGCGUAGAUAUCAGGAGGAAUACCUAUGGCGAAAGCAGGUAUCUGGGCCACAACUGGCGCUGAGCUGCGAAAGCUAGGGGAGCAAACAGGAUUAGAUACCCUGGUAGUCCUAGCCCUAAACGAUGCUCAUUAGAUGUGGGGGGUAUCGACCCCCUCCGCGUCGAAGCUAACGCAUUAAAUGAGCCGCCUGGGGAGUACGGCCGCAAGGUUG